Long non-coding RNA from Salvelinus fontinalis (brook trout), 3496 nucleotides. RefSeq lists it as uncharacterized. The transcript is spliced from 2 exons. NCBI's taxonomy places the organism in Eukaryota, Metazoa, Chordata, Actinopteri, Salmoniformes, Salmonidae. The record is from RefSeq and is a predicted model, not a curated record.
UUAGCUUUUUGUCUGUUGAGACACUAAUGAUACUUACCAUGAAGCUUUUCUUUGUUCUGGGUUGAACAAACUAAAGCCUUGUAGUUGUUGGGAUAAAUAAGCCAAGCGUUUGAGUGAUUGUUGGGAGGGAAAUGUUGAGUAGAUUCUAAAUAUACCAAAUUCCUUUUAGAGACAGAUUAGGCCUUUGUGUUUUGACAUUUUUGCUCCAGUGCUGGCCAUUAACAGUGUUUUGGUAAGGGACAGGUGGAGAGGUUAGAGGAGAGACAACACAGGGGUGAAAUCCCUCCAGGGUGUGGAUGGAAAUGAGUGGAUCUUUCCUACAUGAGGUCAGAGCGACAGCUACUGCGGAAACGUAUGGUGGACAGCACGUUCACUGUUCCAGACCCCCGGCUGCCCUUUUCAUCACGAGCAGAGAGCCGUCCUCCCACCUGAUCCACAGCUUUUGUCUAUAUUUCCUUUGAUUGAAAGAGUUUGACAAAGACAUCAAUGGGACAGACACCAAGUGAAAGCAUAAGGGCACACUCAUCCACCUCCACUCCUGCAGUAUGCCAGCGACAUGGCCUUCACCACACACAUCUAAGCCUUUCGCUUUGUCACUAACAUUUUGUUUUUCCCACCCUCAUGUUUGGAGGAGGAGGGAGAGACAUCAUCUGUGAUCAUAUCUGCUUGUUAGAGUCAGACUGAUUUUCUUGGGAGCGCUUUUGGACAAUUACUGGAUGGACAUAAAAGGAUCUGAAUGCUGACUAACCUAAGAAUGACCCAUUUUAGGGUAAUUUGCUUCUGGUGGUCAGAGGAUCAAAGAGAAGGGCCAUUGAGUUGUUUUAACGAGCCCCCACCCCAUCAACAUUUCCACAUAAACUCUGUUUAUUUGAAUUUACUGUCAAUCCCUGAUUACACUCUUGGAUGUCCUUUUUUUGUGUGUGUUGACUUAACUUACUCUGUUUGGCAGAAACUUACCGGAACUGGGUCAAAGAGGGGGGGUUUGGGGGAGAGGGAGGGUUGGUUUUAUUCCAGAUCACGUUCUCUUGAGUAGGGGGAUGACCUCAGUAAUCUGAUUAUUGUCUCUGUUAUCAUAAGGCAUUCCGACUACUUUUAAUAAAUCUGACUGCGUGCCUGCAAUGGCUUUGCAGCUAAACAAACGUAUUAGGUGUGCAUGAACUCUACUAGAGGCUAAAAGCACUGGGGGGCAUUGUUGGACAGUGACGCACCUUUAACCUGAAGCAAUAGGAUAGGGGCGUAUUAUUGUAAAUGUCAGUCUAAUAUGUGACAAUUCAUUGUGAGGGUAAUGGUAUUGGCAAAUCAUCGCUAAAGAGGUAUGACUCAUAUGUCAAUCAAGGCAACAACCUUAAUCAGAUAAUAUACUGUGUGUUUGAUUCAUGAUUUUAUUUGAACAAAAUAAGAAAUGGUCAAAAUAGCGCCCACAUAUUCUUUAGUAGAAAUUAAAUAGGUCUAUCUUUUUGACAGCACACUUGGAAUUGGACACAGUUUUGUAUUUAAUACCCGCUGAUAAAAGUGUGUGUUGAUUUGGAGUUAUAGCCGCCUCUGCCCAAAUACCAGUUCAAGUUCUGAUCCAGCCCUGUUUUGUCUUGAACUUUACAUGGCAUUUUGAACUGCAUGUGGCCUUUAUGAGAUUAGGUUAUGCAUACAUGAUAAAGAUUACAAAUGUCAACAAAAAAAUGGUUGUACUUGUUAAGGCGUGUGUGACUUGUGCUGUGUCUUUCAAAGUACUUAUAGUGCAGUGUUUUCCACAUGCAGUAUGUGGACAGUUGUAAUUCAUCAUUGUCACUGCCAUUAUCAUUAUCACUGGGAAAUAAUUGGUGGUCUGACACUCAAAAAAACGAAAGGCCUCAGCUUUAUCAAUGAAUGAUAGGGCAACAUUUUGAUCUCUGGCCGUCUGUGACCAAGAGAUCGUGGUCUUAGUUCAAUUCUAUGAAAUGAUUUAGUAUUUUGUCAUGUUGAGAGCUCUAGAAUAUCACAGCGAGAUGAAACUAGUAUUGCUGCAUCCGUUAGAUUCUGCCAUUUCAUGAGUUUCACAGACACAGGAAAUUGUUUCUUUGUCUAGAUAAGCCAGAAAAUGUGACAGUGUCAUUCCCUAUGCAAAUGUGGGGUCUGAAACCUGACACUUCAAGUCAGCCCAGCUGGGAGAGUGGGAGCGGAGAGCAGCGAGAUGGGGCUUUCUUGUACUAUAAGACACGGGACCCUACGCUGUUCACAGAGCGCUUUGUACCAAAAUGUCAGUCGGCACCGGACCAGAACCACUCAAUGUCUCCCAAACAGGGACCAUAACAUCAUAACGUCUUUAUAAGCAUAAUUCAUUUGACCUAGCUAAACAUUUUAAUGCUUUAACAGCUAGCACUCUCUUUGAUACAUUUAUUGUUGUAUUCAGAUUUUGUGAGACAUUAACGAUAUGACCUGAGAAAUCCUUCAACAUGACAUAUUUCAGGAGAUAUCCCAUCAGAGAAACAAACAGUGACUGAGGAAGCAAUUGUAAUAAUUUGCCAGUGUACACCAAGGUCAACCCCCAUGAUUCACAGUGAGACACUGGCAAGGAGUCCUAUGUAAUACUGUCAUGUAUAGAUUACAGUGUAUGUACUCCUCACACAUUGAAUACCACAUCGCCACAUGAACACUCUCCCCUGUAAUUUGAGCCUGCUCGACUCUCAGACAGUGUGUAAGUCUAUACUUACUGUGGUUGACUCGGUGGAGGAGGCUUGCUUCUUAGCCUCUAGAUUUAUGAUGAGGAGGGAUGGCCUUGAUGUGUCCACAACAAAGACCCAGACAAGUCGUUUCUUGCAUGUUGCUCUCUUGGUUGAGUGUACAGCGAGAAAAACAAUGUCAAAAUGAAUGCACAAUGAGCCUUUGAUGAAAGUCAUUGCAACAUGGCGGGUUGUAGGAAACUUGGUGUUAACGACAUUUGGUUAUAUUUUUAACAGUAAAGCGGAGAAACAGUUGCUCUAUAAAGUCUCAAAGGGUAUAGGAACAUGUACAGGCCUUUUCUUUAUAAAGCACAAAACUUCCCACACUAAGGAUCAAAAAGAAAACAUAGUUGAGGAGCCUUUUGCUAAACUAACAGAUGGGGAGAUGAAAUGGAGGAAAUGGGUUAAUGGGUAGUUUCCAUAUGUUUACAGCUAGCAGAGUCUCAUUGAUAACCUCACAGAUAACCCAGGCAUAUUUGUGUGGGCCUGAAGCCUACACGUGCUGACCCAAGGUCUGCUCUUUAGCGUGGAGAUUGUAGGUCUAAAGCUGCCAAGUCAUCCUGGGGUUAUAGUAUUGUUUCACAGUUGACUUCUUAUCCUUAUCCCACACUGGCAUGACUCACCCCGUGAUAUGAAUAUAGGCCAGGGUGUGAUGUGGGGUAUUGUGUAUUUUCUGAUAUCUUACCAAAGGUCUAUUUGUGGUUGAAUGGGAUGCCCAUUGUGUCGAUAGACCACAAACUACAGUUAAUAAUGCAGAGCCUGUUUAACAUUACUAAAUAUACCCUUCCUUAUGCACUUUU